UACGGAGGGUGCGAGCGUUAAUCGGAAUAACUGGGCGUAAAGGGUGAGUAGGUGGCAAUACAAGUUAGUUGUGAAAUCUCUGGGCUUAACCUGGAGCGGUCAACUAAGACUGUAUAGCUAGAGUAUAGUAGAGGGUAGUGGAAUUUCCGGUGUAGCGGUGAAAUGCGUAGAGAUCGGAAGGAACAUCAGUGGCGAAGGCGGCUACCUGGACAGAUACUGACACUGAGUCACGAAAGCGUGGGGAGCAAACAGG
RNAcentral lists this ribosomal RNA (253 nucleotides) under uncultured bacterium. Its description in RNAcentral is "partial 16S ribosomal RNA". It matches the Rfam family "Bacterial small subunit ribosomal RNA", at positions 524 to 776 of the family's 1533-position model. The record is from RNAcentral.